CCCUAUGCCAGGGCGCUCCACGGUACCACCAGGCGCUCGCUCGCUCGUGGCUCCGUUCGAUCUGGGAACGAGCCCCGCUUCAAUCUCAACCGUCGGAGCAUGAAACAGAACCCACCCACGGCGGUAAACCCUAGCCGCCCGCACUGCCUAGCUGGUGACCCGCCCCAUCUGGAUCCUCCUCCUCUCCGCCGCCCAUCCACCUCCUCCUCUCUGCCUCGUCCUCGCUGCGUCACCGCGUCGUGCCCCCAUGAACCGGACCGAGUGGAUGUAGCGCCUCCCUUCCUCGCCGGCGCUCAGUCCGCAGACGUGACGCGGAGAUGAGAGGAUGAACUUCAGCGAGCAAGGGAGAAGAGGAGGUCGAACCACCCCAAUCCUCUUUUCCGCCCAGCGGAGGUCGCAAAGCUCCCUCUUCUCGUUGGCGACUACAACGACAGAGGCUGCUGCGUCACCGCGGGAGACGAGGGCUGCGACGGUCGCCUGAUGGGCGAGAUUCCUCCUCCACCAGCGAGUCGACGACGAAGCAGAGUGAUGCGAUUGGGUAUCUACAUCUCCCUCUCCUCGCCCCUCUCUCUCCUCUGGUUUAAUGGCAGUGUAGUUUCUGCAAUCCUACUCAUCCCUGCUACUGUUGUAGAGUUUUUGUUUUGCUGCCCGGUUAGUCUAAAAAUUGGUACCCAAACCUACUUUUGGUGGUCUCCUCGCGGGGGUUGGCUCUAGAAGCACACGUCUUGAAGAUGAUCCUUGGGGAGAUUGAGAGCUCCAGUUCAGCGCUGUCAUCGUCCAGCUGUUAAUCCAACAGGCAGAUUUUGGGAAGCAAGGUAAUAUAUACCUGGGAUUGUCAGCUCUCUCUGCUGCGUUUUGAUGAUGGACUUUAAACUGAUGAUGGUGUUGGUGUAGAUCGUCUUGGCAUUCACGGGAAGAAAGUUUGGAUGCACGAGAGCCAAGAGAUCUCGGCCGUGCCUCGUGGUAUAGGAUGGUGGUGUUGCUGGUGAAUGGUCACACGAUGGAUGAUGCCAAGCUGGUGCACUAGGACAAGGUCGGCCUUCCCGAUGGCAUUACUAUCAAGGCCAUGGACAUCUGGAUGCACAAGGCACUGGACACCAAUUUCACGGAUAAUAUAUUUUUCAUUGUCAAGGCAAAAACGAAUUAUCUCUUAUUUGAGACACACUUUUAUGGGUUAUUAGUCUGCUGGUCUAGGGAGACUUUUGUUGAGCAUUUCGUGUCUACACUUGGCACACACACUGCACUCAAUUCUAUUGGCUUCUUGAAGGGCAACCUUUUGGUGAGUCAAUUUUUGCUUGAGAUUCUAGAAUCCAUGUCAAAUCUCAGGUAACAAAUUGGAAUCUUUAAUGUAGGUUUUGGUAGGAUAUCUUUUCUUCGGUUUGGUUAUCAAUUUUAUUCCAGAGCCAACCUUUGUGCCAGCCACUGAUACAAGCAAGAAUGAAGUUGGAAUGAACAAUCUUCGGGGAUAAGUACAACAUCAUAAUUGUUUGUUUUCUUAUUAAAAUAUGAUGAUUGGGUAGAAUUUAGUUUGUUUAUGUGGAAAGCAGACUCAUGAUAAUGAUUUGGGGUAAAUAUAUGAACAUAUGAUGAAAAAGCAUCACCGGAAAGUGUUAUUCAGGGAUAUCAUCAUAGAUUUUGGUAAGAAACUAAGAAUGUGUUUAAAUCAAUAAGCUCGCCUGUUUAUUAGGCCUGCACUUGUCAAACUUUAUUUUAGGUGACAUUAUUAUUUGAACUAUUUCAUGCCACAUGAUAUUCCAUAAUAAAAUUCUGUGAAGUUUUGCUUCCUUGAAGCUAUAAUCAUUUGACUAAAUACUUACUCUGAGCUGCAGGAAUCAGUUUGCACAAUUUUUGUGAGGCAAUUGUAGUAUUUCAUGGAUCUGUGAAGCUAAUACCUUUGUGUAUUUAUGUUAAUAUAAUAUUAUAAUUAAUCUUCUAAAGAUGGUUUAGGACUUAGGACUGCACCUUGCAUUUGUUCUAAUAGAGAAGUUACCGGGGACUACCUUGGAUGUUUCGAUUUUCGAAGAGCUAAUUUACCAUAUCGGACUUCAAAUCUUGCAAGGCGUUCGCGUGGGAGUUAACUUGGGUUUUGCUAUUGCCUUAUAUAGCAUACCCGAGGUGCAUAAAUAAACCCACCAACCUUUCUGGUUAGGUAACCUGAAUAUUCAUAUCUGAAGGCGCGUCUUGCAUCCUUGCCACUUUGAAUAUCCCUUGCAUUGUUUUUACUAAUAAGAUUCAGCUGCCUUUAUUAUUUGAUGGUAUAAUCCACCAACGAAAAAGGGCCACAGUUACCUGAGCAGGCUUAUAUGCCAUUAACCUUUGAGAUUUUUGAUACUCGCGUCGUCUUCUUCAUGCAGGCUCUCCAUUGUCCGUAGGUUAUUUGUACAGGACAAGCCCAUCUUAGCAUGAAAGAGAGGGGGAUAUGGAUAGAAGGAGGGGAGGCAUGAGCAUGAGGAGAGGAGGUCACACCACUCUGCAGCUAUAUGCAAAGUCUGAUGUUUCAGUUCCCUGUGUGAUAAUUUCAGUACCAUCUUUAUUGUGUAUACCAGUAUUGAUUUCUUUAUUAUUAUCUUUGCCAUUUACUGAAAUUUCAAACUACAUACUGGAAUAAAUUGUGCAAGCAUUAAAUGAAGAACCAUUUUUUCCUGUAGUGUUUGCAUAGAGGUUCGUUGUUUGCCCAAGGUAAUUGAGCUUUCUUCAACGCUGGAUAUCAGUUUCAGUUAUAAAGACAUGUUCCUGCUCUGAGCAAUGGCAAAGGUUUUUAUGUUGCACUAGAUUUUAAUGCAUCUGUUAUGUAAUCUCUUAAGAUAAAGGAAUCUUCCUUCAGCUGAUGUUUGCUCUUCUCAGUGGCCUACACGUGGCUGAAUUUACUCUACGUACUAUUUGUGAGUUGCUGGUAGCUCUAUUAUAUUGCAGCUUUUAUGUCUUAUUUGUUAGUCAAUCCAUCUAUUACAAAAUUUCUUACACCCCUUUUCCCAACAAGUAUGCAUGCCCACCUCUGCUAUAACUGUCGCAUUAUGUUAUUCUUGUCACUUACAUUUUGUCCUUAUGUUAAAUAGUUGUAGUGUACAUAGGGUGUCUGAUACCUUAUUUCAAUAUUGAAAUCCACUUUUUGUCAGGUGCUUUUUCUUUGCCUCCUUGGGAGCAGGACGUUUCCUUUCUCCUGCUUGCUUUCUCCACCACCAUGACGGGAUGGUUCCUCGUGAGCACCUACUGCUGCAAGGGGAGUUGUAACUGAUUAAUGCUUGUGUGUGUUCCUUGUACAUCUUUCUAUGAUAGUGUUCUUUCUUAUUGUUUUGCUUAAACUGGGUAGCAAACUCAGACUCUUUGCAAUGCCAAUUUAAGUUUUGCAGUAUGUAUUGCACUGAUUUAAUUGUGUUGUGGCAAAAGGAAAGUGGUCCUUCGAGAUUUGA
Long non-coding RNA from Lolium rigidum, 3410 nucleotides. RefSeq lists it as uncharacterized. The transcript has 5 exons. The record is from RefSeq and is a predicted model, not a curated record. NCBI's taxonomy places the organism in Eukaryota, Viridiplantae, Streptophyta, Magnoliopsida, Poales, Poaceae.